UGGGGAAUAUUGGACAAUGGGCGCAAGCCUGAUCCAGCCAUGCCGCGUGGGUGAUGAAGGCCUUAGGGUUGUAGAGCCCUUUCGGCGGGGAAGAUAAUGACGGUACCCGCAGAAGAAGCCCCGGCUAACUUCGUGCCAGCAGCCGCGGUAAUACGAAGGGGGCUAGCGUUGCUCGGAAUUACUGGGCGUAAAGCGCACGUAGGCGGCUUGUUAAGUCGGGGGUGAAAUCCCGGAGCUCAACUCCGGAACUGCCUUCGAUACUGGCAAGCUCGAGUCCGGGAGAGGUCAGUGGAACUGCGAGUGUAGAGGUGAAAUUCGUAGAUAUUCGCAAGAACACCAGUGGCGAAGGCGGCUCACUGGCCCGGUACUGACGCUGAGGUGCGAAAGCGUGGGGAGCAAACA
This 402-nucleotide ribosomal RNA is filed under the name uncultured bacterium. Its description in RNAcentral is "bacterial SSU rRNA". It matches the Rfam family "Bacterial small subunit ribosomal RNA", at positions 355 to 774 of the family's 1533-position model. The record is from RNAcentral.